CGACUCUCGGCAACGGAUAUCUCGGCUCACGCAUCGAUGAAGAACGUAGCAAAAUGCGAUACUUGGUGUGAAUUGCAGAAUCCCGUGAACCAUCGAGUUUUUGAACGCAAGUUGCGCCCGAAGCCACCCGGCUGAGGGCACGUCUGCCUGGGCGUCACG
Molecule: ribosomal RNA, 159 nt
Filed under: Eupatorium cannabinum
Lineage: Eukaryota; Viridiplantae; Streptophyta; Magnoliopsida; Asterales; Asteraceae
Description: 5.8S rRNA
Rfam family: 5.8S ribosomal RNA
About the family: 5.8S ribosomal RNA (5.8S rRNA) is a component of the large subunit of the eukaryotic ribosome.
Source: RNAcentral